RNAcentral lists this ribosomal RNA (505 nucleotides) under uncultured bacterium. RNAcentral describes it as "partial 16S ribosomal RNA". It matches the Rfam family "Bacterial small subunit ribosomal RNA", at positions 28 to 507 of the family's 1533-position model. The record is from RNAcentral.
GACGAACGCUGGCGGCGUGCCUAAUACAUGCAAGUAGAACGCACAGUUUAUACCGUAGCUUGCUACACCAUAGACUGUGAGCUGCGAACGGGUGAGUAACGCGUAGGUAACCUGCCUGGUAGCGGGGGAUAACUAUUGGAAACGAUAGCUAAUACCGCAUAAUAUUGAUUAUUGCAUGAUAAUUGAUUGAAAGAUGCUAUUGCAUCACUACCAGAUGGACCUGCGUUGUAUUAGCUAGUAGGUGAGGUAACGGCUCACCUAGGCGACGAUACAUAGCCGACCUGAGAGGGUGAUCGGCCACACUGGGACUGAGACACGGCCCAGACUCCUACGGGAGGCAGCAGUAGGGAAUCUUCGGCAAUGGACGAAAGUCUGACCGAGCAACGCCGCGUGAGUGAAGAAGGUUUUCGGAUCGUAAAGCUCUGUUGUAAGAGAAGAACGGGUGUGAGAGUGGAAAGUUCACACUGUGACGGUAUCUUACCAGAAAGGGACGGCUAACUACGUG